CUGGUUGGAAGCUUGAGAAGCAGGUCUUUGUGCCUUUUUGAGCUGAACUUGCACUCUUGGAAGCUGGUUUGGAAGCUGCUCUAACCAAGGCAAGAUCGCGAUCGAGCCUUGGAUCGUCUUCGACUGACUUGUGAGGACUCUUGGAGGUUACACUUGAGCAGGAUUGGAGCCUUGUGGAGCUGAUCCUUGGGACUCCUUUGGACUGUUUGGAGCCUUGAACUAGCUUAAGAUGCCGUUGACUCGUUCGCAAGCCGCCGGGGCAGCUGAGGCGGCGGAUGCAGAGGAAGUGGGGACUUCUGUUACUUCGGGAUCUAGUGGGAUCCAUGAGUUGCAGGAUCAGCUCGCGAAGCUGACAGAUUUGGUUGCUUAGCAGGCUGCGGCCGCGCGACAGCAGAUGGAUGCCGCGCGUCGGCAGGAGGACAGGAUGAAGAGGUUGGAGGAUCUGUUACUGCGGCAGACGACCGACAGAGAGAUUCCAGAUUCUGUACCUAUAGCACCAGAGAGGGGCACCACAGUGAGAGCACAGUCACCUGUACUUGACACACCCCCAGUAGCUCCGAGGGCAGAGACCCGACAGGAGACAGUAGUA
Molecule: long non-coding RNA, 589 nt
Organism: Ananas comosus (pineapple)
Lineage: Eukaryota; Viridiplantae; Streptophyta; Magnoliopsida; Poales; Bromeliaceae
Exons: 5
Source: RefSeq, a predicted model, not a curated record